CACGUAGGGCGCGAGCGUUGUCCGGAAUUAUUGGGCGUAAAGAGCUCGUAGGCGGCCUGUUGCGUCCGCUGUGAAAGCCCGGGGCUUAACCCCGGGUCGGCAGUGGAUACGGGCAGGCUAGAGGUAGGUAGGGGAGAAUGGAAUUCCCGGUGUAGCGGUGAAAUGCGCAGAUAUCAGGAGGAACACCGGUGGCGAAGGCGGGUCUCUGGGCUGACACUGACGCUCAUGCACGAAAGCGUGGGGAGCAAACAGG
This 253-nucleotide ribosomal RNA is filed under the name uncultured bacterium. RNAcentral describes it as "partial 16S ribosomal RNA". It matches the Rfam family "Bacterial small subunit ribosomal RNA", at positions 524 to 776 of the family's 1533-position model. The record is from RNAcentral.